ACGCUGGCGGCGGCCUAAACAUGCAAGUCGAGCGCCGUAGCAAUACGGAGCGGCAGACGGGAGAGUAACACGUGGGAACGUGCCCUUUGGUUCGGAACAACCCAGGGAAACUUGGGCUAAUACCGGAUAAGCCCUUACGGGGAAAGAUUUAUCGCCGAAGGAUCGGCCCGCGUCUGAUUAGCUAGUUGGUGGGGUAAUGGCCCACCAAGGCGACGAUCAGUAGCUGGUCUGAGAGGAUGAUCAGCCUCACUGGGACUGAGACACGGCCCAGACUCCUACGGGAGGCAGCAGUGGGGAAUAUUGGACAAUGGGCGCAAGCCUGAUCCAGCCAUGCCGCGUGGGUGAUGAAGGCCCUAGGGUUGUAAAGCCCUUUCGGCGGGGAAGAUAAUGACGGUACCCGCAGAAGAAGCCCCGGCUAACUUCGUGCCAGCAGCCGCGGUAAUACGAAGGGGGCUAGCGUUGCUCGGAAUCACUGGGCGUAAAGCGCACGUANGCGGAUUGCUAANUCAGGGGUGAAAUC
This 520-nucleotide ribosomal RNA is filed under the name uncultured bacterium. RNAcentral describes it as "bacterial SSU rRNA". It matches the Rfam family "Bacterial small subunit ribosomal RNA", at positions 33 to 601 of the family's 1533-position model. The record is from RNAcentral.